Molecule: non-coding RNA, 564 nt
Organism: Paramuricea clavata
Lineage: Eukaryota; Metazoa; Cnidaria; Anthozoa; Malacalcyonacea; Plexauridae
Source: the annotation of a GenBank genome assembly
UGUACUGCUGCUACCGAUAAAACGUUUGUCAUGCGCCGGCUUUCCGUUUCACAUCCACAUAAUCUGCAGCAUCCUUUAUGUUUCUGUUUUAAAUAAACUUUUCUAGGUGUAGAUUGUGUACUGUUGUUCUCCAUCGAAAUACUGUAUUGUACGCUCCUGGCUAAUUGAAUUUAUAAUAUGCAUAUUUCGCAUGUCGAUUUCAUGUAUAAUUAUUAUAAUUAUGCUAUUUCAGUAAAAGGGAUUUGACCAAUGGGUGAUAAGAACACCGCAGCCGAUGCCAGGGCCUUCUCCAGCUCAAAGGCCCUGGGGACGAGGUUGCCGAAAUCCGAACGAAUCGGAUUCGGAUUUGCACACCUCUAGUAUACAGUAUCCCUGCAUGGUUAUGACAUAUUUUAAUCAGAUCUAAUUUCAUGUCAUAUGCACUUUAAACUGCUUGGUUGAAUUUACCUUGAUAAUGUAUAAUCUUUUAAUCCAACAUGUAAAUUGAUUGCAGUAAAUGUUCCUAUACAACCACGUAACCUUUUAUCUGGUCCAUGACCAAUCUUCCAAGUUACAAACAACGGG